Molecule: ribosomal RNA, 388 nt
Filed under: uncultured bacterium
Lineage: Bacteria
Description: bacterial SSU rRNA
Rfam family: Bacterial small subunit ribosomal RNA
Source: RNAcentral
GACGAACGCUGGCGGCGUGCUUAACACAUGCAAGUCGAGCGGUAAGGCCCUUUCGGGGGUACACGAGCGGCGAACGGGUGAGUAACACGUGGGUGACCUGCCCUCAGCUCUGGGAUAAGCCUGGGAAACCGGGUCUAAUACUGGAUAUGACUCCAUGACGCAUGUUGUGGGGUGGAAAGCCUUGUGCGGCUGAGGAUGGGCCCGCGGCCUAUCAGCUUGUUGGUGGGGUGANGGCCUACCAAGGCGACGACGGGUAGCCGGCCUGAGAGGGCGACCGGCCACACUGGGACUGAGACACGGCCCAGGCUCCUACGGGAGGCAGCAGUGGGGAAUCUUGCGCAAGUGGGCGAAAGCCUGACGCAGCGACGCCGCGUGAGGGAUGACGGCC